Molecule: non-coding RNA, 525 nt
Organism: Suricata suricatta (meerkat)
Lineage: Eukaryota; Metazoa; Chordata; Mammalia; Carnivora; Herpestidae
Source: the annotation of a RefSeq genome assembly
CACUGACAGCUCACUAUGGAGUUUUUGCUUGGAUGGGUUUUCCUGUUUGCUGUUUUAAAAGGUGUCCAGUGUGAGGUGCAGCUGGUGGAGUCUGGGGGAGGCCUGGUGAAGCCUGGGGGCUCCCUGCAACUCUCCUGUGCAGCCUCUGGAUUUGACUUCAGUAACUACUACAUGCACUGGGUCCGCCAGGCUCCAGAGAAGGGGCUGGCAUGGGUCUCAUGGAUUAAAUAUGAUGGAAGUAGCACAAGCUAUGCGGACUCCGUGAAGGGCCGAUUCACCAUCUCCAGGGACAACGCCACGAACACGCUCUAUCUGCAGAUGAACAACCUGAGAGUCGAGGACACGGCCAUGUAUUUCUGUACAGCAUGCAAAUUGAGGGGUUGUCACUGUGGGCCCAGACACAAACCUCCCUGUAGUAGGGGAGCAGCACCACCAGGUGUGUACUCCCAGGUGCAGCUGAAGCAGUCUGGAGCUAAGUUGAGGAAGCCUGGAGUGUCAGUGAAAGUCUCCUGUGAAUCAUCUUGA